Molecule: RNA transcript, 2759 nt
Organism: Chiroxiphia lanceolata (lance-tailed manakin)
Lineage: Eukaryota; Metazoa; Chordata; Aves; Passeriformes; Pipridae
Gene name: S-adenosylmethionine synthase-like
Exons: 10
Source: RefSeq, a predicted model, not a curated record
GUUGGCAAUUAAGAAUGGAGGCUCGAGGAAGUGUGCAAAAGUAGGAGGUUAACCACACAUGAGAGUCUUAUGAAAGAAGUUUCUGUAGCAGUGCAUAAAAAGCAGUAAAAGCCACACAGAUCAGUCUUAACCUGUUGAACUUCCAAGGAGCAAACAGGCAGGAGCAAUUACGUCAGCUGUUUGCGCAGGCACAUUAACCUUUCCACUCCACCUUCUGCUUGUGCUUGUUCUGUAGUCCAGUUGCUUUGGGUCUUUCUCAUUUGCAAGCUUGUGAAAGAUACGAAGACAUGUCAAUUCACACCGCAAAAAAAGAAAAACGGUUUCUUUUUACCUCAGAAUCUGUUGCUGAAGGACAUUCUGAUAAGAUAUGUGAUCAGAUAAGUGAUGCUGUUGUAGAUGCUCAUCUCAGUAUUGAUCCAGAUGCCAAGGUUGCCUGUGAGUGUGUAGCAAAAACUGGAAUGAUUUUGCUCUGUGGAGAGAUCACUUCCCGAGCUAUAGUAGAUUACCAACAAAUUGUGAGAGAGACCCUUAAGAAGAUAGGAUAUGAUGACUCUUCCAAAGGACUGGACUAUAAGACUUGCACAGUUUUAGUGGCCUUGGAACAGCAGUGUAAAGAGAUCAAGGAUGCUAUCUCCCAUGGCAAGUGUGAUGAUGACAUUGGAGCAGGGGAUCAGGGUUUGAUGUUUGGCUAUGCCACUGAUGAAACUGAGGAAUGUAUGCCCUUAACAAUCCUCCUGGCACACAAACUAACUGCAACUAUAAGGGCUCUGGAACGGAAUGGAACGUGGCCUUGGGUUAGACCAGAUGGGAAAACACAGGUCACAAUGGAAUACAAGGAGUGUAAUGGCACACUGGAGCCCAUCCGAGUGCACACACUGGUGAUUUCAGUAAAUCAUGCCCCAGACAUAACACUGCAACAAAUACAGAAGGAGCUAAUGGAGAAAGUUGUUAAAAAAGUCAUUCCAGAGAAGUAUCUUGAUGAGGACACCAUUUAUCAUCUCCUUCCAAGUGAAAAGUUUGUAGAAGGUGGUCCUAAGGCCGAUGCUGGACUGACUGGUCGGAAGAUCAUUGUUGAUACAUACGGAGGCUGGGGAGCCCAUGGUGGAGGUGCAUUCUCUGGGAAAGAUCCCUCCAAAGUUGAUCGUUCUGCAGCCUAUGCAGCUCGCUGGAUUGCAAAAUCUCUGGUGAAAGCUGGUCUCUGUAAAAGGGUACUAAUCCAGCUAUCAUAUGCCAUCGGUCUGAGCUGUCCUCUUGCAAUCUCAGUGUUUCAUUAUGGAACAUCAGACAGAUCUGAAGAAGAACUACUUAAAAUUGUCCAGAAAAACUUUGAUCUGCGCCUUGCAGCUAUCAUAAGGGAGCUGGAUUUGAAGAGGCCAAUCUAUCAAAAAACAGCAUGCUAUGGGCACUUUGGAAGAGAAGAAUUUACAUGGGAAAUACCCAAAAAGCUUGUGUUUUAAGCUUUUCAAAACAUUUCAUAUUAUUGACAUUUCAUAUUAUUCAUAUUAAUAACUAGGACCCUGGACCUUAUCUUUGCCUGAAACUAAUCCAUUUAAUAUGCAUAUAGCCUCAUAGGCAUAAAGCAUAGCAUUAAACUUCAUUAGAAUUUGCUCAAAUUGCUAUUUUCUAGGAAAUAGUAAUGCAGCUUGCUAAUUCUGAAAUGUCAAAAUAAUAAAAUAUUGAGAAAUGUUUUAAUAAAUGGCGGCACAAAGUUUAAAUGGCAAGGGAUUGCAGAGAUCACUAUACACUAAACUGAUAGCAAUUUCAGUAAAUGGGCAUAUAGUGUCAAUUUUACAACUGUCUCAAUUUCACUGUCAUAAGACUUCACCCUUCCAAAGUUAAAUAGAGCUUUGUUAAGAAGCUGUGAUGCUUUGUUCCUCAUGGAAGAAGAGCAUUUUGAUGAAAUGUCUUUUGUUAAACUGAAUGAGGAAAUUAUUUGUUCAAUGGAGGUGUCUGUUAAUCGCUGCUCGCUGUCAAACAAACAAAACACAAACAAACAAGCCCCCACAAAACCCCCACGGUGUACUUCAGACAGUAAGAACACAUUCCUGCAAGACUUCUUUCACCUUGCUUUCUGACUUCAGAGUUGAAGACAUUUUCUUCAAGGAAUUUGAUAGACUACUAAGCUUUCCUUCCCCUUGUCAUUGACUGGUGUUUCAAAGUAGCCAGGAGUACCACCUACUGAAGAAAUCCCUAAAUACGGAUUGGAACAGGUACAUUAAGACUCUAGAGAUCCUGCCUAAAAAUUUUAGUGACUUUUCUAAUGACUAGUGAAUUAAUUUUAUUUAUAGAGGGUAGCUAAUUUGCCCUAUGUAAAAAAUCUCUUCAAAAACAGAAAAAAAGACAUAUGCCUUGUUUGAAACCAGCAGAUAAAGAUACCUCUGCUAAGUUUGUAGUGUCUAGUCCACAGCCAGACACAAAACUAUUGCUCCACAAAACCAGUGAAAUAAUCUUUUUUUGAAUGAUUGGCGCGUUCUCUCAUUACCAUUCUGGAAAAGAAUGACUUAAACUAGAACCUAAACUGUAAAAAAGGGUUCCCAAAUCAGACAUAAGCUUUAAGAUGGCAGAUUGCUGAAAAAGUAGCUAAAUUCAAAUGUAGCCUCCAUCCAGGGAUCAAUUGAAAUUUAUUUAUUUAUUUAUUUAUGAAACUUGCUGUUUUAAUAUCAAAUGCAUAGGGUCUUAUUUGAAAUAUGUGGUUACAAUAUAUUAUAAAAAUCUCCCAAUAUAUAUCAGGUCAUAUUCUGCAUAAGAAAAAAAAUUGU